RNAcentral lists this long non-coding RNA (200 nucleotides) under Salvia miltiorrhiza (redroot sage). RNAcentral's name for it is "long non-coding RNA (SMIL_LNC001399)". Lineage: Eukaryota; Viridiplantae; Streptophyta; Magnoliopsida; Lamiales; Lamiaceae. The record is from RNAcentral.
GGGUGUACAAUAUCUUCAAUUUUAUAUGCAUGAAUUUCAAAUGGUGUAUAUCCAUAUCAUCAAUGGCGCGUGUAGUUUAUUUGCAUGGUAAGAUUUGGUAUAUAUCCUAACAAAUAUAUAUCGUCUAGGUGAUAUGCAUAAAAGAUUUGAAUGGAUUUAUUCUCCUAAUAAACCCUAGAUACUAAUGGAAUUAAAGAUAA